GACGAACGCUGGCGGCGUGCUUAACACAUGCAAGUCGAACGGAAAGGCCCUGCGUUUGUGGGGUGCUCGAGUGGCGAACGGGUGAGUAACACGUGAGUAACCUGCUCUUGACUUUGGGAUAACUUCAGGAAACUGGGGCUAAUACCGGAUAGGAGCUCCUGCUGCAUGGUGGGGGUUGGAAAGUUUCGGCGGUUGGGGAUGGACGCGCGGCUUAUCAGCUUGUUGGUGGGGUAGUGGCUUACCAAGGCUUUGACGGGUAGCCGGCCUGAGAGGGUGACCGGCCACAUUGGGACUGAGAUACGGCCCAGACUCCUACGGGAGGCAGCAGUGGGGAAUAUUGCACAAUGGGCGGAAGCCUGAUGCAGCAACGCCGCGUGCGGGAUGACGGCCUUCGGGUUGUAAACCGCUUUCGCCUGUGACGAAGCGUGAGUGACGGUAAUGGGUAAAGAAGCACCGGCUAACUACGUG
This 468-nucleotide ribosomal RNA is filed under the name uncultured bacterium. RNAcentral describes it as "partial 16S ribosomal RNA". It matches the Rfam family "Bacterial small subunit ribosomal RNA", at positions 28 to 507 of the family's 1533-position model. The record is from RNAcentral.